CCUACGGGAGGCAGCAGUGGGGAAUAUUGCACAAUGGGCGGAAGCCUGAUCCAGCGACGCCGCGUGGAUGAAGGAGUCCUUCGGUGCGUAAAGCUCUUUCAGCAGGAAAGAAAAUGCCGAUACCUGUCUAAGAAGCCCCGGCUAAUUACGGGCCAGAAGAGGCGGUAAUACGGAGGGGGCAAGCGUUAUCCGGAUUUACUGGGUGUAAUGGGAGCGUAGACGGCAGUGCAAGUCCGGAGUGAAAGCCCGGGGCUCAACCCUGGGACUGCUCUUGAAAAUGUAGGGCUGGAGUGUGGGAGGGGCAGGCGGAAUGCCUGGUGUAGCGGUGAAAGGCGUAGAUAUCAGGAGGAACACCGGCGGCGAAGGCGGCCUGCUGGACCGUAACUGACGUUGAGGCUCGAAAGCGUGGGGAGCAAACAGGAUUAGAUACCCCGGUAGUC
RNAcentral lists this ribosomal RNA (440 nucleotides) under uncultured bacterium. RNAcentral's name for it is "partial 16S ribosomal RNA". It matches the Rfam family "Bacterial small subunit ribosomal RNA", at positions 338 to 795 of the family's 1533-position model. The record is from RNAcentral.